RNAcentral lists this ribosomal RNA (487 nucleotides) under uncultured eukaryote. Its description in RNAcentral is "bacterial SSU rRNA". It matches the Rfam family "Eukaryotic small subunit ribosomal RNA", at positions 506 to 991 of the family's 1831-position model. The record is from RNAcentral.
CGUUCGGAAUGAGUACGAUUCGAACCACCUAACGAGGAACGAUCGGAGGGCAAGUCUGGUGCCAGCAGCCGCGGUAAUUCCAGCUCCAAUAGCGUACGUUAAAGUUGCUGCAGUUAAAAAGCUCGUAGUUGAACGUUCGGGUUCCGCGGGACGGGGCCGCCCCGCGAGGGACGGCGCCGCCCCGGGGCUCGUGAUAUCUUAUCUCGCCGCCCGUCGCGAGGCGGACGGAGGGAUGGAUGAGGUUACCUGGAAAAAAUCGGGGCGAUCUAGGCGGGCGAACCUCGCCAACGAACGAUCGGACAUGGGAUAACGGAAGAGGGCGUCGGCUCGACUUCGUCGGUUCCUCGGGCCGAGGCACGUACGGUGAAUAGGGACGGUCGGGGCCGCCCGUACCGGGUCGUGAGAGGUGAAAUUCUAGGAUCGACCCGAGACGAACUGCCGCGAAAGCAUUCGGCAAGGACGCUUUCAUUAAUCAAGAACGAAAGUC